Molecule: ribosomal RNA, 478 nt
Filed under: Symbiodinium sp. clade A
Lineage: Eukaryota; Dinophyceae; Suessiales; Symbiodiniaceae
Description: eukaryotic LSU rRNA
Rfam family: Eukaryotic large subunit ribosomal RNA
Source: RNAcentral
UGUGGCCUUUAGACAUACUACCAACGGCGGCGCGAGCGUAAGCCUCUUGGAACAGAGCGUCUACGUGGGUGAGAAUCCUGUGUUUCGCUUGAUGCCCGCCGUGCACGGUACUUGCUCUCAGAGUCACGCUCCUCGGAAUUGGAGCGUAAAUUGGGUGGUAAAUUUCAUCUAAAGCUAAAUACAGGCUCGAGACCGAUAGCAAACAAGUACCAUGAGGGAAAGAUGAAAAGGACUUUGAAAAGAGAGUUAAAAGUGCUUGAAAUCGCUGAACUGGAAGCGAAUGGAACUAGUGCUCUGGUUGAGAGUGCUGUAAAUGGCUGCGACAUCUGGGCUCUGGAACGCAAGUCCUUUGUCUGGCUUGAAGUAGUCGCUUGCAAUGUGUCUCAGCUUGAACAUCAACUUCUAUGCAUACGUGAGGAUGGCCCUUGGCUCAUGCUGUGUUGCUGUGGCGAUACUCUUGUGCUUCUGGGGAUUCAGG